GGAACCUGCGGAAGGAUCAUUAUUGAAAUAAACCUGAUGAGUUGCUGCUGGCUCUCUAGGGAGCAUGUGCACACUUGUCAUCUUUAUAUCUCCACCUGUGCACCUUUUGUAGACCUGGAUAUCUCUCUGAGUGCUUAGCACUUCAGGUUUGAGGAUUGACUUUAUUGUUCUAUCUUUAUAUUUCCAGGCCUAUGUUUCUUCAUAUACCCCAUUGUAUGUUAUAGAAUGUAGCAAAUAGGCCUUUGUGCCUAUAAACCUAUACAACUUUCAGCAACGGAUCUCUUGGCUCUCGCAUCGAUGAAGAACGCAGCGAAAUGCGAUAAGUAAUGUGAAUUGCAGAAUUCAGUGAAUCAUCGAAUCUUUGAACGCACCUUGCGCUCCUUGGUAUUCCGAGGAGCAUGCCUGUUUGAGUGUCAUUAAUAUAUCAACCUUCAACUUUUGUUGAAUGUUGGAUGUGGGGGUUUUCUUUUGCUGGUCUCUCUGAGUUCAGCUCCCCUGAAAAUCAUUAGCGGAACAAUUUUGUGGAUUCGUUCAUUGGCGUGAUAAAUUAUCUAUGCUAUUGACGUGAAGCAGUUCAGCUUAUAACAGUCCAUUGACUUGGACAAAUUUUUAUUAAUGUGACCUCAAAUCAGGUAGGACUACCCGCUGAACUUAA
Molecule: ribosomal RNA, 655 nt
Rfam family: 5.8S ribosomal RNA (bases 263-416)